Molecule: long non-coding RNA, 5448 nt
Filed under: Sus scrofa (pig)
Lineage: Eukaryota; Metazoa; Chordata; Mammalia; Artiodactyla; Suidae
Description: lncRNA (ENSSSCG00035074010.1)
Source: RNAcentral
UUCUUAUUUUUUAUGCACAGCUGGCUUUGGGAUCUGAGGUAGUCUUAAAGAAAUAAGGCCUUUUAGUUUCGCUGCAGGGUGGGGUUUGGCAUUUAGAGUGAAAUAUGCACAUAACCUGUUAAACGAGGUAGGCUUUAUUCCUUGCCCAGAAAAAGUUCCUAAUGCACCCAUGGAAGCCAUAUCUCCUGAAGGAACCAAACAGAAACCAAAACCAAACUGGCAUAUCUGCAUUUGACGUUAAAAAACCUUACUGGUUAAGCUUACAUGAUGUACCUAUCCUUUUAUUUAUUUAUUUACUUAGUUAAGGUCGGCAGACCUCUCUCAUAGUUUCCAUUAUUAAACUGUUCUCUCCUUUGACCUCAAUCAAAAAUAAUUAGAAUUGGCACUUACUGGCUACUGACUAGAUAUUGCUGUGAGCCGGUCAUGCAGAACUAUUUAUCUAAGCCUCCCUUGUGACGUAUAUAUUAUGAUCCAGUUUCCAAAUGAGGAAACUGAGGCCCAGGGAGGUUAAAUCAUUUGUUAAAGGUCAUUCAGCUCAGUUACGUGAAGAGCUGAAAUUUCCAUCCAGGCUGUCUGGUUAGAUUAAACGCAAACACUACCCAGGAGCAUAUGAAAUCAGGAUUUAGAAUUUUUCUAAGCCAUAAGAAUCUGUUUUGCCAGAGGGAAUGCUGAGAAAACGGAUGCCUUGUUUUUCCUGAGAUUCCUUUGAGUUCUCUUUAUUGUCCUUGAAAGAAGAAAGCGCUUAAAAGUUCACAAAUUUGGAAACAGGCUUCCCCCGUUGAUGAAGUAGCAGCAGAGAAGAAAAUAGACUCUGGGGGAGGCAGAAGUGGUUUGAUUUCUAGUGAAACCAACCAGCUGAGUGAUGUUGGGCAAGUCGCUUAUGGUCGCUGCAUUUUGGGUUCCUCAUUUGUAAAGUGAGUAAUAACAUAUCCUCGAGUUGUUCUAAGGUUUGAGUGAUACAAUUCAGGUAAUGUGCCUAAGGCAAAGCCUGGCACACACAGAGUGCUCAAGCAAGCAAACUGCAGAUAAACGUUUCAGAAUGGUGAGAAUAAAUUCUGGCUCUGCCACUGAGAAAUAAGACAACCUUGGAUCAUUAUUUCACUUUGGGGAACUUUAUAAAGGACAGGUAUCAUAUGGUAUAUAAAUCAAUAAUCUAGGGUGGUCCUUAUCACUUAACUAGGUGGCAUGUUUCUGCUCGUAAAUACAACACCACACAAAAGAAACAAAGCCCAGCAAGAGGAAACUAGGGAUGGUAUGUAAACCUAGUAUGUCAAUAUUUUGAUGUGUAGAAAAAGUUUUUUUUUUUUUAAAUAUCUUAGUGCCAAGAAACAAAACCACACAAUGAAGAUGGGUUUUUUGGGGGGAAAAAAGAGUUUUUACAGGAUGACAUAAUUUUUUUCUUUUCUUUUUUUUUUUUUUUUUUUGCCUUUUUAGGCCCACACUCAAGACACAUGGAGGUUCCCAGGCUAGGGGUUGAAUUGGAGCUCCCCCCCACCAAAGUAAAUAAAAGACGCAACAGUUAGCAACUGAUAGUUGAUUUCUUUUUACUUAUUCCCAUCACUGCCAUGGAGUGAUUGCUUUAACUUUAUAGUCAUAAUUCGGUUAAUUUGUCAGGACUGGAUAGAAGGUAUGAAAAUGCCGGAUACACUAAAUUUUACUUGUGUCCUCUUACGUUGUCUGUUUAUGAAUGUGUUGGUGAAGUACAUGGACUUAAAAGUGAGAGAGGCUGCAGUCAUAGCAGUGGGUACCUGGAUGUAGUAUAGGAGAAAUUCUUUUGAAGGUAUAUAAUUAUAGUGAUAAUUAAUAAAACAUAUUUAUGAAUGCUUGAAGAGAGCUAAAGCUGGCAUCCCAAUUUAAGAGAAAUAUUUUUCUUUAACAUUUACCUUGUUGUGAAAACGGCACUCCCCAAAGGUAUUUGUAUUGGCCCGCUUUGAUCACUGAAGAUCCAGGGCAUUUGUUUCAAUAUUGGUAUCUUUUCAGCACUGGAGAAUCAGUUUUAGAACAAUAUAAGUUAUAUCUAAUAGCAAGCUGAUAAUCAAAUGUUGAAGUCAUUUACUCUUUUAGUACAUGUGACCCCUUAAUAAAUUAGUAGUAGAAAAAUAAUGGGACUUUGUAGACAGUGUCACUUAGUUCUGUGAGAUUUUCCAUCAGCAUGUUUAGAACAUGACAUUCAAGAAAAAGAAAAAAAUCGCCUUUCCUUUAAGGAACCCCUUUUUUUUUUUUUUUUUUUUGGCUUUUUUUGUCUUUUCAGUGCCGUACCCACAGCAUAUGGGGGUUCCCAGGCUAGGGGUCCAGUUGGAGCCACACUCAUGCCAGAUCCAAGCUGCGUCUGCGACUUACACCACAGCUCCUGGCAACGCGGGUUCAUUAACCCACUGAGCAAGGCCUGGGAUCAAACCCACAACCUCAUGGUUCCUACUUGGAUUGGUUUCCGCUACACCAUGAUGGGAAUUCCUAAGGUGUUAUAUUUCUGAAUGGUUUUUUGAAAGUGAGCUGAAAGCUGAUUGGAUCUGAGCUGGCAAUUCUUUCAAGACCAUCAGUUUUAGGGGUCAGGCAUAAAAUCAGUAAACAAGAGUUAUAGCAUCAAUGAAAUACAACUCUGAGAGCCUAAAGACAGGAUGUGAAAAUGACUUGAAAGAUAUAGCACUUAAAACUCAAGAUACAGAAAUAUAUAGCCUUGAGGGAAAAAUGUCUUUGGUUAAAUACAGAAAUACUGGACCACUAACCUAAAUUUAACAAGACACAUGAAGGAGUAUUUUUGUAUGGAGGAUCUGACCUGUGUAUAGUUUUAGGGAAUUAAAUAUUAUUCCCACUUAAAUAGCUGUUGACAAAUAUUAUAUUCUUUAUAAGACCAUGGAAAUAAAAGAAAAUAUUACUCAAAAAGAACCUACAGUUGUCUCUGUUGAUCUUAAAGACUGUCAGAAGGAGUGAUUAUUAACCUGAAAUUUGCGUACAUUAAUUUUGGUAAUGAAAUAACUUAGCAUUAGUUAAGCAUUUGAAAUUACAGAAGGUAUAAUGGGUUGAGUUUGAAUGUGGUUGCUUUUAGAAAAGAAAGGGUAAUAGUUAUAGAUUUAGUAUUGAGUACUUCAAAUACACACACUUGCACACACACACACACACACACACACACUACACUUCAUAUAACAUCCUGAACAUUAUUUUUUCUUUAAGAUUAACUCGACUAAUUUAGGUGGUGUCUAUGAUAUUCAUUGGCUAACCAAACAAUGAUUUAAGGGAAAAAUGCAUGAUGUCAUAAGUGUGUACCCCCAAAACUUAAAAAAUAUCUUUUAUUUUAUUGCAGAGGUUUUACCCUUGGAAGAAUUGUUAAGGUUCUGAGCUCAAAAACAUCAGUUAAGUACAUUCUUAUGACUAAAGUAAUACUCUGUUGCAAUGGAGAGUAGUGUUUACAUCAAUCCAGGCAGUUUUAUGUAGCAAAGACCUUUAUUUCACAAGGCAGACUAGGGUCUGACCCUGAAGGCUGAUAGAGUUUGAGUUCACUGCUUCUAGCAUUGGACCCUGUAGUCAACUAAAUGUGUUUUUCCCCUACAUUUUCAUUCUGCCCCCAGAAUCUAAGGAAUGAAUGCUGACCCCUCAAUGGUAGGUGAAUCAAUUCAGCACUGUGCUCAGAACAGCUCCUCAAAUGCUACUGUGCAAUUGCUGCUAGUCACCGUGUGGGUUGCGUGGUUGAAGCGUACACAAGUCUAGUGACAUUUGCUUCUGGCCAGUAAGCAAGGAUAUAUUUUAUAUAUAGCUAUAUAAGUAUAUAUACUUUUAUUUUAUUUCGGAAAAAUGGAGAAAUGAGCAAAGCAUUUAACAUUUCUCCUGAGUGCUGAAGAGCCUGUUGAGGUUUGCUUUGUGGUGGUGGGCUGGGGUGGGGGUUAGGAAGGAGCAGUUGAGGAGGGCUAAGGAAUCAAGUAGUCUGGGAAACUGACUUUUGCAUAGAAGUGGGGAGAAAUGGCAUAAAUGUUUCCUAGAACACCAACUUUCUUUGCAGAGGCAAAGAAAAGCAGUCAAACAGGACAAAAUUAUAAUAGUUUAGUCAACAAAUACAAUUAAGGACCUUUAGUUUCUCCUCAAGGGCUAUAGAUAAUAUUAUGAGCCAUAUUCUUUGAGCUAUUUUACAGAUACUGACACUUCUCCGGGUGGAAGAUGUUAACAGCAUGAUGACCAGACUUUUGCCAUGACAUAAGCUGCUCCAUUCUUACACAAUUUCAAGAACUGGCCUCAAGGAAAUAGGAAUAAACUGACCUGAUAGUUGAAGAUUAACUGUACCUCAAACAAUCAAGACCACUGAUCAGACUACUGUAUGACCAAUUUAAGAUGAUUGUCAAAACUACUUGUGCUGUUCUCCACAUAGCCCCGAAACUCCCUUUUAGAAAUUCUUGUCUCCUGAUUGACAAUGGGAAGGUGGUUCUUUGGGAUGUGAGUCCAUCUUCUCCCAAGGAUUGCUGGCUUUUCAAUAGAGCUAUCUUUCCUUUUAUCCAACACUUGUCUCUUAGUAUUGGAUUCUUGAAUGAUGAGCAGUGGAACCUGAGUUUGGAAACAAUACUGAUAUAAAGAAUUGUGAGGGUGUAUGUAACAGAGAAGGUAAAAAAGGGAACAACUCUGGUCAUAUAUGAGGAAUAAUAUGCUUUUCUUUUUGAGUGGAAGAGGGCCCUCAUAAAAAUCCUCUGUAAAUUUUACAACAGAUGAUCAGUUGAUUCUGAAUUGUCUUCAAAUAAGUUUAUUCCUGUUGGCAACAUGAGAUUCCUCAGUCCUACUGAGUAUCAAUAUAUAACCAUUCAGCAAAAGAAUAAUAACGGAUUAAUGAGACUAACUCCCCACCCAUUCAAAUGUCUUUCCUCUUUCCAUUUUCAGGAAUCAGAGAUUAACAAUGUCUACAGGGCCCCUUUCAUUCAAGCAAGAUUUAUCUAGAGAAAAACUUUUCAAAAGAAGACCUAUGAAUUUCUUUCUGUUACUUCUCUUUAUUCCACCCCCCAUGGUUGUACCUAGCUCUUUCUUGGGUAGAGUAUGAUGACAGAAAGCUAACUCUGUAGUAGAAUGGAUGUGUUCUUAGGUAAAAGAGAGGAAAUUGGUCAUUUAUAUGGUCAGAGAUGCUCUGAGGAAUCCUAGUAUUUUCAUCAGCUCACUCAUAUUUUCAGAGUUUCAUUAUUUAUUAAUAAAAUGACUUCUGUAAUGUGUUUAAAGAAGGUGGAGCAGUUCCUAUUUUGGCUCAGUAGGUCAAGAACUAGUAUCCAUGAGGACGCAGGUUUGAUCCCUGGCCUCGUUCAGUGGGUUAAGGAUCCAGUGUUGCCACAAGCUGCAGCAUAGGUUGCAGAUGCAGCUCAGAUCUGUCAUUGCUGUGGCUGUGGCAUAGGCCUGCAGCUGCAGCUCCGAUUUGAUCCCUAGCAUAGGAACUUACAUAUGCCACAGGUACGGCCCUAGAAAGAAAAAGAAGAAAAAAGAAGA